ACUAUUUUGGCAGAUUAGUGCUAUAAAUUUAGAAUUUAUUUAUGUGAUUUUUUCACAAAUAGUA
Molecule: transfer RNA, 64 nt
Filed under: Metrocoris esakii
Lineage: Eukaryota; Metazoa; Arthropoda; Insecta; Hemiptera; Gerridae
Also listed under: 7 other names
Description: tRNA-Leu
Source: RNAcentral